GUGAGGAAUAUUGCGCAAUGGAGGCAACUCUGACGCAGCCAUGCCGCGUGCAGGAAGGAGGCGCUACGCGUUGUAAACUGCUUUUAACCGGGAAGAAACCCCAGGACGUGUCCUGGGUUGACGGUACCGGAGGAAUAAGCACCGGCUAACUUCGUGCCAGCAGCCGCGGUAAUACGAAGGGUGCAAGCGUUAUCCGGAUUCAUUGGGUUUAAAGGGUGCGUAGGCGGAGCGUUAAGUCAGUGGUGAAAUCCUGCAGCUUAACUGUAGACUUGCCAUUGAUACUGGCGCUCUUGAGUGCGCUUGAAGUGGGCGGAAUGUGCCGUGUAGCGGUGAAAUGCUUAGAUAUGGCACAGAACACCAAUUGCGAAGGCAGCUCACUAAGGCGAUACUGACGCUGAGGCACGAAAGCGUGGGGAUCGAACAGGAUUAGAUACCCCUGUAGUCC
This 445-nucleotide ribosomal RNA is filed under the name uncultured bacterium. RNAcentral's name for it is "bacterial SSU rRNA". It matches the Rfam family "Bacterial small subunit ribosomal RNA", at positions 354 to 796 of the family's 1533-position model. The record is from RNAcentral.